Molecule: small nucleolar RNA, 128 nt
Filed under: Sciurus vulgaris (Eurasian red squirrel)
Lineage: Eukaryota; Metazoa; Chordata; Mammalia; Rodentia; Sciuridae
Description: Small nucleolar RNA SNORA51 (ENSSVLG00005006476.1)
Rfam family: Small nucleolar RNA SNORA51
About the family: ACA51 is a member of the H/ACA class of snoRNA that guide the sites of modification of uridines to pseudouridines.
Source: Rfam by way of RNAcentral
GACCCCAUGGUGCUUACAGGAUGUGUUUUUACACUGUCUGCAUAGUAAGAAGAAGCAGAGUAACUCACCUCCUGUACACCUCAGCCCAGGCCCUGUGUCUGGUGUCCAUUGUGAGACGGGAGACAUGG